This 67-nucleotide transfer RNA is filed under the name Coridius brunneus. RNAcentral describes it as "tRNA-Phe". Lineage: Eukaryota; Metazoa; Arthropoda; Insecta; Hemiptera; Dinidoridae. The record is from RNAcentral.
GUUAGGAUAACUUAAGAUUAAAAGUUUAAUAUUGAAGAUAUUAUUAUGGGUUAUAACCCUCUUGACA